GACGAACGCUGGCGGCGUGCUUAACACAUGCAAGUCGAACGGAAAGGCCCUGCUUUUGUGGGGUGCUCGAGUGGCGAACGGGUGAGUAACACGUGAGUAACCUGCCCUUGACUUUGGGAUAACUUCAGGAAACUGGGGCUAAUACCGGAUAGGAGCUCCUGCUGCAUGGUGGGGGUUGGAAAGUUUCGGCGGUUGGGGAUGGACUCGCGGCUUAUCAGCUUGUUGGUGGGGUAGUGGCUUACCAAGGCUUUGACGGGUAGCCGGCCUGAGAGGGUGACCGGCCACAUUGGGACUGAGAUACGGCCCAGACGCCUACGGGAGGCAGCAGUGGGGAAUAUUGCACAAUGGGCGGAAGCCUGAUGCAGCAACGCCGCGUGCGGGAUGACGGCCUUCGGGCUGUAAACCGCUUUCGCCUGUGGCGAAGCGUGAGUGACGGUAAUGGGUAAAGAAGCACCGGCUAACUACGUG
This 468-nucleotide ribosomal RNA is filed under the name uncultured bacterium. Its description in RNAcentral is "partial 16S ribosomal RNA". It matches the Rfam family "Bacterial small subunit ribosomal RNA", at positions 28 to 507 of the family's 1533-position model. The record is from RNAcentral.